Molecule: long non-coding RNA, 977 nt
Organism: Rosa chinensis
Lineage: Eukaryota; Viridiplantae; Streptophyta; Magnoliopsida; Rosales; Rosaceae
Exons: 3
Source: RefSeq, a predicted model, not a curated record
UUUUAACCAGCAAAUUGAUAUAUGUUUGUUGUCUUAGAAUUUCGUCUCUUUCUGAUUUGAAAUUGUGAUUGUCCCAAUGUUUUGAUGGCGUAGUUUGCUCUUCUGCUUUUUUAGUAAUCAUUUUCUCGGAAAAUGUGAUCAGCAGGUUCAGUUUCUAUAAGCUAUAGAUAUGGAUGUAGUAAAUGUUGUUUGUGAGGAUCUCGGGAAAAUUUGUUCAUGUUCUCAUUGAUAUGUUGUUCAUAAUGUCAGCCAUAUUAAUAUGUGAAAUUAUGUGCGUUUGCAGGUGAUUGUUUCGAGCAACAGAUUAAUUUCACUGACUGCAAGUACUAAAUAUGAGCAGUGAUCCACUCAUUAUUUUCUUUCUUUCAUUCUUUCUAGUGUUAAUCUGUAAUGUCAAAAAUCCACAAUGCAUCCCAAGCAAACAAAACCAAAGACUUUCUAUGGCUUUCUUUCUUUGCCUCACAUAAAUAGCGUUGGUGAGAGAGGUAGAGAGAAGUAGAAAGCGCAGGUCUACUUCUUUCCUCCGCAGAGUUUAGGGUUUAGGGAGGGAGGAUCACCUUGCUAGAUAUGACAGUGUCAAGGAAGGUGGAUACACUCUUGACUUUCCUACAACCUUGAAUAGGAGUAAAGAUUACUGUCCAAAGCCUGAGGAAAUAGCCACUUUCAGUUUUGAUGGUGCUGUACUUGGACAAAUUCCUGCAAGUAUGUGAUAUCGUCGUGUUGGAUCUUCGGGCGAGGCUGCCAAGAAGAAAAAGAAGGGGAAAGAUGCAAAAGGUUAUUCCUGCUACUUUUGGUUUAAAGUAAUUAGAAGUCUUCAGUUUAUGCAAUAUUAGGUUCUUCAUACAAUUGUCUGUGAUAGACUGGCAUUACUCUUAUUUUGGUGGAACCUAUGAGAGACAAAGCAUCCUAAACUUGAGUGUCAGUUAACAACAGUCUUCAUUUAUUUGUUGAACUCAGAUUAUCUAAGAUCAAGUAAA